AGGGUUCGAUUCUGGCUCAGAACGUACGCUGGCGGCACGCCUAACACAUGCAAGUCGAACGAAGUAGCAAUACUUAGUGGCAGACGGGUGAGUAACAUGUAGGUAUCUGCCCUUUGGCCUGGAAUAACACGAGGAAACUUGUGCUAAUACCGGAUAAGUCUUUACGGAGAAAGCUUUAUGCACCAUUGGAUGAGCCUGCACUUGAUUAGUUUGUUGGUGGGGUAAUGGCCUACCAAGACUGUGAUCAAUAGCUGAUUUGAGAGGAUGAUCAGCCACAUUGGGACUGAGACACGGCCCAAACUCCUACGGGAGGCAGCAGUGGGGAAUCUUGCACAAUGGAGGAAACUCUGAUGCAGCGAUGCCGCGUGAGUGAAGAAGGCCCUUGGGUUGUAAAGCUCUUUCGUCGGGGAAGAAAAUGACUGUACCCGAAUAAGAAGGUCCGGCUAACUUCGUGCCAGCAGCCGCGGUAAUACGAAGGGACCUAGCGUAGUUCGGAAUUACUGGGCUUAAAGAGUUCGUAGGUGGUUGAAAAAGUUGGUGGUGAAAUCCCAGAGCUUAACUCUGGAACUGCCAUCAAAACUUUUCAGCUAGAGUAUGAUAGAGGAAAGCAGAAUUUCUAGUGUAGAGGUGAAAUUCGUAGAUAUUAGAAAGAAUACCGAUUGCGAAGGCAGCUUUCUGGAUCAUUACUGACACUGAGGAACGAAAGCAUGGGUAGCGAAGAGGAUUAGAUACCCUCGUAGUCCAUGCCGUAAACGAUGUGUGUUAGACGUUGGAAAUUUAUUUUCAGUGUCGCAGCGAAAGCGAUAAACACACCGCCUGGGGAGUACGACCGCAAGGUUAAAACUCAAAUGAAUUGACGGGGACCCGCACAAGUAGUGGAGCAUGUGGUUUAAUUCGAAGAUACGCGCAGAACCUUACCAACACUUGACAUGUUCGUCGCGACUCUAAGAGAUUAGAGUUUUCGGUUCGGCCGGACGAAACACAGGUGCUGCAUGGCUGUCGUCAGCUCGUGUCGUGAGAUGUUGGGUUAAGUCCCGCAACGAGCGCAACCCUCACUUUUAGUUGCCAUCAUUAAGUUGGGCACUCUGAAAGAACUGCCAGUGAUAAGCUGGAGGAAGGUGGGGAUGACGUCAAGUCCUCAUGGCCCUUACGUGUUGGGCUACACACGUGCUACAAUGGUAUCUACAGCAGGAAGCAAGACUGCGAAGUCAAGCAAAUCCUUAAAAGAUACCUCAGUUCGGAUUGCACUCUGCAACUCGAGUGCAUGAAGCUGGAAUUACUAGUAAUCGUGGAUCAGCGUGCCACGGUGAAUGCGUUCCCGGGUCUUGUACACACCGCCCGUCACACCAUGGGAGUUGGUUCUACCUUAAGGCAAGGUUUUAAACCCUUGACCACGGUAUAGUCAGCGACUGGGGUGAAGUCGUAACAAGGUAACC
RNAcentral lists this ribosomal RNA (1436 nucleotides) under uncultured marine microorganism. Its description in RNAcentral is "bacterial SSU rRNA". It matches the Rfam family "Bacterial small subunit ribosomal RNA". The record is from RNAcentral.